GGAGUACGAUGACGAGAUGGGCGGCGGCGGCGGCGGCGGCGAGUGUGGUCCGGAGACGCCGUGGGAGUCCAUGUUCCAGGAUCUGAACCCCACCUAGGCGACCGCUGCAGGCGUCGGAAGGAAGGCACGUCCAUGGUUCACCGGAGAAAGGACAACUGGACUCUGGAUAAGGACGCACUGCCUGCACGGGAAAUGCAGCAUUCAGAACUACCCACGUUCACAUGCAAAACAGAACAAAACAAGCUGGGAUGGUGCCAAAAGGAAGGGUUUUAGAUCUGAGCAAUUUUGCAUCGGGUAGAGACAGAUUAGAUCUGAUGGCUUCAGCACAGUUUAGCGCCCAACUUUGAUGAAUGUGAACUACUCUCCCCGUUGAGACUAAAAAGAAUCCUCAAAUCCUUGCCAACUGUUCCCCUCUAGACCCACCAUCUUGUUGGCAAAAUUAGAUAGAUGCCACUGCAUGCUUAGGUAGCCUGAAAAAAGGUGUCACUUUGUAAAAAUACCAUUGUUUGUUACUUGUGAGACUAA
Long non-coding RNA from Brachypodium distachyon (stiff brome), 525 nucleotides. RefSeq lists it as uncharacterized. The record is from RefSeq and is a predicted model, not a curated record. The transcript is spliced from 2 exons. NCBI's taxonomy places the organism in Eukaryota, Viridiplantae, Streptophyta, Magnoliopsida, Poales, Poaceae.